CAUAAUAUAAAUACAAAAACCUUGUCAAGUUAACGGUUUAUACUUUUCCUGAGCUAAUAGCAUAUAUAUAAUGAUUUCUGCUUCCUUGUUUACGAUGUGAUGACAAGGGUAGCUGCGCCACUGUGGGCCACAGGAGCACCACAUUCCAGGAAGCACUAGUCACGCAUGCCAACUUACAUGUUUGGCAGGCAGGAGAAUGCUGGGCCUUUGACUGAGAAAUAAUUCUGUUUUCUUCCUCCCCCA
Molecule: long non-coding RNA, 243 nt
Filed under: Homo sapiens (human)
Lineage: Eukaryota; Metazoa; Chordata; Mammalia; Primates; Hominidae
Description: HSALNT0284338
Source: RNAcentral